This 250-nucleotide long non-coding RNA is filed under the name Malus domestica (apple). RNAcentral's name for it is "long non-coding RNA (MDOM_LNC017714)". The record is from RNAcentral. Lineage: Eukaryota; Viridiplantae; Streptophyta; Magnoliopsida; Rosales; Rosaceae.
AGGCACGAUCUGCUGCACCAGUCCAGGCUCCAUCUGGCAGCCCUGCACCUGAGGCACCAAAGCAUGGUGAAGCUCCAUCACCAUCAAAUGUAGCACCACCUAACGCACCAAAGCAAGGUGAAGGUCCACCAUCAUCAAAUGCAGCACCACCCAACGCACCAAAACAAGGGGAAACUUCAUCACCAUUAAAUGCAACAUCACCCGUGGAACCAAAGCAAGGGGAAACUCCACCAGCAUCAAAUGCAACGGC